CACGCCGCGCCCGCUCACGCCGCGCCCCCGCUGGCACGCAACUUCCGACUUUCAGACAUGUACGGUUUGUUUACAAGACGCAGAUGGACCAUAUUGCCAUAUUGAGUCAUGGCGGCAACAACUCCCGGGAAGCACCUGUGACUUAGCUCAUCACAUUGCUCUGGGCCAGUGGACAACUAAAUUUGGCAAAGACAUUGAGAGGGACAUGGCACGCAUCUGAAAAUGGUGGUGCAUUAGUCUAAUGGAACGGUUCCAGAUUGACGGCCAUGGACAGAGGUUUGCAUACUGGACUAAUGAGGCCAGAGCAUUGCUCCAAGGUUCACUGCAGCCAAUAUACAGGGUCCCAAAGGUCAGCAAGAGGGAACAUGAGGUUUCGAUUAGAAAAGGAUGACAGGUGCAUCAUAUUGGAGUUACCAACGUGUGUGCUUUCUGUAAUCCUAAAUGAAGUGGUACUACAGGAAGGAGAUAAGGCAUACUUAAGAUUGGCUCUUGUGUGUCCACUGACUCCUUCAGGAGACGGGCACAUUUUCAGUGGCUUGACAGUGUCGCUACAUGGAGCAGGUUUUCUGAGUCCUA
This is a long non-coding RNA of Esox lucius (northern pike), 576 nucleotides long. RefSeq lists it as uncharacterized. NCBI's taxonomy places the organism in Eukaryota, Metazoa, Chordata, Actinopteri, Esociformes, Esocidae. The transcript is spliced from 7 exons. The record is from RefSeq and is a predicted model, not a curated record.